Molecule: transfer RNA, 71 nt
Filed under: Anguilla anguilla (European eel)
Lineage: Eukaryota; Metazoa; Chordata; Actinopteri; Anguilliformes; Anguillidae
Description: tRNA-OTHER
Source: RNAcentral
GCACGGUGGCGCAGUGGGUAGCACUGUUGCUUCACAGCAAGAAGGUCCUGGGUUCAAGCCCCACACCGGCG